Molecule: ribosomal RNA, 427 nt
Filed under: uncultured bacterium
Lineage: Bacteria
Description: partial 16S ribosomal RNA
Rfam family: Bacterial small subunit ribosomal RNA
Source: RNAcentral
UGGGGAAUAUUGGACAAUGGGCGUAAGCCUGAUCCAGCCAUGCCGCGUGUGUGAAGAAGGUCUUCGGAUUGUAAAGCACUUUAAGUUGGGAGGAAGGGCAUUAACCUAAUACGUUAGUGUUUUGACGUUACCGACAGAAUAAGCACCGGCUAACUCUGUGCCAGCAGCCGCGGUAAUACAGAGGGUGCAAGCGUUAAUCGGAAUUACUGGGCGUAAAGCGCGCGUAGGUGGUUUGUUAAGUUGGAUGUGAAAUCCCCGGGCUCAACCUGGGAACUGCAUUCAAAACUGACUGACUAGAGUAUGGUAGAGGGUGGUGGAAUUUCCUGUGUAGCGGUGAAAUGCGUAGAUAUAGGAAGGAACACCAGUGGCGAAGGCGACCACCUGGACUAAUACUGACACUGAGGUGCGAAAGCGUGGGGAGCAAACA